CACCUCCACCGCUGGUUCCGCCGCCGUUGCAAUCGCCGGUUCUGCGGCCGUUUCUGCCACAAUUGUAGGAAGCUUUUCAAUCGAGCCAUCUCCUCUAUCAACAUUAUUGGUUUCAGAUUUGUUUGCUUUGUAGCUACGGUUGUCGCUGCAGUUUCUGCCGCCGUUGUCGCCGCAGUUUCCGCCAUCGUUGCCGCUGUAGUUGCCGCGGUUGAAAGCUUCUGAAUCGUGCCACUGUUUCAGAUCUAUUUUCUCCUUCGAGCUGCGCUGGUAUUCUUCUUCUUCUCCAUAUUUCACUUGUCUCUGUUUCUUAAAUAUAUGCUAUUAGAGUUAAAAUCUUGUACCAAUAGAUUGUUCUGUUCUUCUUGAAUGGUGAGUCCCACCUGGUCACGAAUGUUGCCAUGCAAUUUAUGUGUUAACACGUAAUUGUUGAAGUCUAUGAAUUGCUCACUUCAUUGGGUUUCACUGUUGAAGAAACUGAUAUCUUACGAGGCUACUGGGAUGCUGCUGCUUCUGCUUCUGAUUAUGAUUCAGCUCCUGCUUCCGCACCUCUUCCACUUGCAAAAUGCCUUAUAUAGAUAAAUAAAAUAUAUAUAGUGGAGAAAUAUUUGAGAAUUUAUUGAUCUUUGUAUUUGCUACAUUCUUAUAUGAACGUUUUGUCAUGGAUCUUGAUUUGUAAAUUAAUAAUAUUGAAGAAAUUGAUAAUACUGAAAAGUAAUUUUCAGGUUUUGUUUGGAGACAAUAAGAAUUAAAACAUGUCUUGCAAUUUUUCUUUUAUCAUUUAUUUGCAACAUGAAGAUAAUGCUACUUUUGCAGCUCCAAGCUUGAAGGUAGACUAGUAUGUUACAGGCUCUCAGACAAAGUAUGCCACUCAAAUACAAUUUCCAUUUAUACUUUGUUACUAAGAAGAAAUUAAUGACACACCUGGACUAAUUCUAUUGAUUAUGUCGAUCAGAUUGUGAUAUGGAUUCUAAUAGGCAUUUGAUUUGGUUAUGUAUGAAGGCAAAUGACUAGUUACACACAUGGUCCAUAGAGGAUGAUGCUCUUGAGCGUACUAUUAAUGGAGAGUAAGUCUAUGACCCCAUAUGAAUUUAUUUACUAUUAUCUUGCUUAGCACAUUGGUCUCAUAACUAAGAACCUGAUUCCAGUUAUGUUAAAUAGAUAAAGUAGAAGUCUGUGAAGAAUGGAGGAUAGGAACAGAGGAAGUUAGGUCCCUUUUUAUCAUUUAGGCAGUUAUGGUAAAUAGAUAAAGUAGAAGUCUCUUAUAUUGAACUAUCCUUGCUGCUCUUAACAUUAAAUAAAAUUGCUAAAUUGAUGAUAAAUAAAAUUUUAAAUAAAUACAUGUUCAAUUUUUAUGAUGCUGGUAGGAAAAUGUAAAGAAUUUUCUUAUCUUGGAUUUGCUGUUUUAUGAUACUUUUGCACAUUUACUUUGGUUCAAGAUUUUGCUUCUUCUAUUCACUUGUACAAAAAAUAAAAAGUACUCUUUCUGCUACAUGAUCCUUUAUUUUUAGUUUUAAUUUGGAUCAGAAUAGAAUAGAGCUAUUCCCUCUUUCUUACUUCUCGCCAUAUGCUCACAGUACAUCUAGUGUAGUGAGUAGUAUAGUAGUAGAUAGGAUAAACCAUAGUUUUAGUUUGCUUGCUUUAAAUGACAUUCACUAGCAGAGAAGAUUAGACUCUACUUUAUCAGUGUCAACAAAAAGAGAUAAUAAUAAUAAUAAUAAUAAUAACCACUGCUCCUUAUGCAUGUCUUGUUUCCUAGCAAGUACGUGUAUUAGUUAUCGAUCUACAACCUACCUAUAUAUAAUCAACUAGCUACCUUCUGUUUAUGCUUAGUACAAGUACAAUUACUUAGUUAAUUAAAGCCCUUCUUCUUCUACCUUAUUUCCUAUCCUCUUAUUCCUGUUUUAGUGUCUUCUUUUAUUGUUUAAUUUAAUGGAUCAUAUUAUCCUUCAAUUUCUUGACAGAUAAUAAUUAUAAUUGAAGUGGGUACUGAUUUUUCUCUCACCAGUUUCUUGCUAUUGCUUUUGAACAAGCACUUGUUGAGGUAAG
This 2046-nucleotide long non-coding RNA is filed under the name Arachis ipaensis. Its description in RNAcentral is "long non-coding RNA (AIPA_LNC001009)". Lineage: Eukaryota; Viridiplantae; Streptophyta; Magnoliopsida; Fabales; Fabaceae. The record is from RNAcentral.